GACGUAGGGGGCGAGCGUUGUCCGGAAUUACUGGGCGUAAAGAGAACGUAGGCGGGAACUUAAGUCAGGUGUGAAAGACCGUGGCUCAACCACGGGGUGGCAUUUGAAACUGGGUUUCUUGAGGGCAGGAGAGGAAAGCAGAAUUCCUGGUGUAGCGGUGAAAUACGUAGAAAUCAGGAGGAAUACCAGUGGCGAAGGCGGCUUUCUGGACUGACCCUGACGCUGAGGUGCGAAAGCGUGGGUAGCAAACAGGAUUAGAUACCCUGGUAGUCCCUGAGCGGGCU
This 284-nucleotide ribosomal RNA is filed under the name uncultured prokaryote. Its description in RNAcentral is "partial 16S ribosomal RNA". It matches the Rfam family "Bacterial small subunit ribosomal RNA", at positions 524 to 817 of the family's 1533-position model. The record is from RNAcentral.